This is a long non-coding RNA of Canis lupus familiaris (dog), 2387 nucleotides long. RefSeq lists it as uncharacterized. Lineage: Eukaryota; Metazoa; Chordata; Mammalia; Carnivora; Canidae. The record is from RefSeq and is a predicted model, not a curated record. The transcript has 4 exons.
GGCCCAGUAGUACUAAGUAACCUGUCUGAAGUCACAAAAGGUGGAAGUGGCUCAGCUGGGGCUUGGGCCAGGCCCCGGGCUCCAGAAUCCAUAUUCUCGACCACUGCCCCCCACUGUCCCUCCCGGGCACUUCACAGGCCAACAGGUGGGGAGCAAGCACAAGGCCCGGGGCACAGGGAAAGAUGGAAAAGCCACCCGGCCCCACAGAGACCAGUACGGGCAGCUGACCCCGGGCCUGGCCUGCUGGAGGUUCGAGAGCAAAAGCUGCCUGUUUUCAUCUCAGGGUCCUCAUGCGGCCAACCCUGAAGAGUCACUUAUGUGGAGCAACUGCUGACUUGGAAGAUUCCAAGCAAUGAUUUCGGACUGCAUGUGGGAACAAGGGGCCGGUGACAGGUCGGGGUCCUGGAAGAGCACCCGCUUCACUUUCCCGGGCUCUCCACUGCCUGCUGCACCCUCUCUCUAGAAGCUCCUGAGACUCUCAUUGGCAUCCCGGAGCUGGCCUGGCUGCUGUAGACCGAGGGCCCAGCUACCCCUGGGGCACAGGCUUGGCUCACAGGUGGGUGGGCCACCCGCCCAGACGGAGGCCUGGCCGCAGGAUGUCCGGUUUGGAGUCUCUUUCUGGGAAUCCCACACGCGGCUGUUGUAAACAGCCCCACGCAGCGGCCGGCGGGAGGCGGCUCCCCUCCUGCGGGGCGAGAUGAAUCAAACAGGAAGCAGCCGUAACCAUGGCAGCGGCGCCCGGGCUCCCGGGGGUGGGAAAAGAGCCCUUCCUGGCUCCGGGCCCCUGGCCAGUCCCCCGCCGGCCGGUCCCCGGGCGCCCCCCCCUCCCCCCCGGGCCCAGGCGAGCACCGGGAAGCCCUGAGCUCGCGCCCCCGCCCCCGCCCCCGCGGCGCGGCCCGACCCCGACCCGGAGCCGGAGCCCUCGGAGCCCUCGGAGCCCUCGGAGCCCUCGGAGCCCUCGGAGCCCUCGGAGCCCUCGGAGCCCUCGGAGCCCGGUUCCCACUUACCCUCACUGCCCUGCGCCCGGGGCUCCAACCCCGGAGAUAGGAAGUUCGCCCUGAUACCUAACCACCAUCUCUCCGAUCACAAGCAAGACGACCUGAGCAGCCAAGCAACGAUCCAUAGCCACGUCCUGAAUGCCCACUGCGCGCCGGUUACCGCUGGGUGACACCUGACCUGCACUGUGUCCCGGUUGGUCCUCACUAAAACCCCCGUCUGGAAGUGGAAGCAAGCGGCCUCCAGCAGGACGGAACCGAACAAGCCAACCUCCCAGGGCUGCCAUGGAGGAUCAAACGCUGCGUGAAAGCACUCUGGAAGCUGUCAAGCACUGUAGAAAACGCAGGUUGCAUAACCAGAGCAAGUCACCCGUGGAGCGGCUACUUGGGAGUGAAUUCCCUCGGGAGAAGAAGCUUGCUCUCCCUCCCUCUCUCUCUCUCUCCACCUCCCCCCUCCUUCCAGGCCUCAGACACACAGGCAGGCCCGGAGCAGGUGGAGAGAUGGAGGCCCCCACCGGUGCAGAACAGAGCACCCUCCUUUAGGACGGACUCCUGGGGACUGGGAACACAGCCAAAGGCCAUCAGUGCCCUUGGACCUGGGGCAGGGGAAGGCAGAGGCCAUCACAGAGGCCGGGGCCUGCUCCAGGGCCUGGGGGCGUCGCAGAUAGAGGAGUCCCUGAAUAGCAAUAAGCUAUGAAUGCUGGCACUCACAGGAUGCCACAUUAAUAUUAAUGACAGUAAGUGCCCAGAGAUCCCCAUCCCAGUUGCGCCUGGGUAUCCCCCUUGUUUGGCCUAUUCCUUUUUGGAAGAUGGCAGAGGUCUACUAUCAGGGCGAUUUCCCCGGCGACACGAUUCCCUUCUGCAGCCAGGGUUCUGCGGCUGCCCUUGGGACUCGGUGGGCCAGAGUUUUUCCAGACCACAAAAUCCAGCCAGGGUGCUUAUACAGCCUUCAGGGAACUCAGUAAACAGAUGCGUGGUCCUGGGUACUGAUCUGGACAAACCAGCUGGGAAGGACAAUUUCUGGCCAACUGGGAAUUGGAUGAGAUGAAAAUGUACGAUCGUGGGAGGUGGAGAUCACUGAAAAGGCAGCAUGUGCAGUGUCAUCGCAUUUUUGUAGGAAAUAUGACAUAUAAGGGCAGGCCAGGGAACAGGGAGGUGUGAAGAGGUAUUGUGGCAGUGGUCUCUGACCGCUGGGGCUGGAAUGUUUCUCAGUUUUUAAAUUUUCGCUUGUCUGUGUAGUCCAAUCAUCUACAAUGCACAAGACCUACAUCUAUAAUAAUAAUAAUAAUAAUAAUAAACAAAAUAUAGGGACGCCUGGGUGGCUCAGCGGUUGAGUGUCUGCCUUCAGCUCAGGGCGUUAUCCCGGGGUCCAGGAUCAAGUUCCACAACAGG